ACAGUCUAGAUUGUCUUGAGUGCUUUCAAGUCCAAAGACUUCAUGAAAAUAGUUUCAUUUACUUACUGAUGUUAUUGGUUAACAUUUGGUUUCAGUCUUGUGUGAUUUUUAUUGGAAAAGCUGUUUCAUAUGAGAUGUUUGAUCCUUAGAUGAAUCAAGAAGAUAUCUCGAGGAUAUCUUGGAGAGAGGAACACCUGUACUAAUGAUGAGUUAUAAGCAAAUCAGCUCACCAGAAAAAUGUUGACCAUGACUGUGUCUCUCUAGAAGAGAAUUCUCCUUCUAAAGACAACCUGAAAUGUGACAGAUGCUGAUAAUUGGUGGUGGCGUUGCUGGGCUGACUGCAGCAGUAGCUGCCAAAGCAAUGGGAAUUGCUGUCAGAAGAUUUGAUGCCAGGGUGUGGUGAACACUGGUUACAAGGACUUGCCAAGAAGAAGGGCUACUCAAGCCAGUAGCCUUUUUCCAGCAACAUCUUGAAAUUAUUAAAGCUAUUUCUCCUGAGAGAGAAUAUUUUCACUUUGAACAAAAGGACGAUUUAGAUUAUAGGGCUAUUGAUUGUGUCAUUAGAGGAAUUUGAGUAAUAAAGGUAGCAUUAAUCCAAAGUACAGUCAUUCAAAACAUUUACAUAUUGGCAGACUGGAAUUACUUUUCAGCUAAGGAAGUGUUUGUAAAGAGAAGCAUAUUCAUCUAAGCUUUUAAGGAACACAGUCUAGGAUUUAGCUCAGCUGUGUGCUGUGCAGGAGAGAUGGCAAGACUGUUUACUCAGAACACUUCUGGACUGGGAAUACCCCUGGUAUGACUGAGGUGUCAAAGCUUCAGGAGCAAGCAGCAGUGGAAGCACAGAAAUCUUCAGCAGAAAUUCUGGGCAUGGCUCUGGGUGACACAAUGGGCAUGUGCACUUCUUGUAAGAUUGCAGGGGGUGACAGCUGUAGGUGGAGCAGCUAUGCCUGUUACUCAAAUACCAAGCAGUCACUCUGGCUGAGCCUUGUGUGCAGAAGGUUUUCUUGACAAUUGUGGGUGUCUUGAUUGGUUCCUCUGGAUGGAGCUAUCCUGUCAUGCAUUAUGUGUGCGGCUUGAUCUUUGCCAAAUGUCACUUCUGGGUGGAUAUGGCACAGCAUCUACAGCAGGAAGGAAACCUAUGGAAAUUGUUGCAACUUGCACUGAAGCUGGAUUAGACCAAGUUAUUGAAGAGAUAAAGGAGUCUGAUUCUAUCAUUACCCUGGAAUUCUUCAUUUCUUUCUCUGGACUAGAGCUGCUUUGCUUCACUGGACCCAGCUUUAAUGGAUGGGAGUCAAACUAGAUGGUUUUGUUCUAAGCAACUAUGCAGGAGAUAGCUCAUAAAGGAAGAUUUACAAGCUGAGUUUAGUACCAUGGGAUCUUGAAUUUACUGCUUCUAGAAGACUCAAUGUUUUCAUGAUGUCAAAUGUUUUCAGCUGACAAUCUUGAAGUGUUUGACUCACUGUUUAUCCUAUAAACUCAGAUUGGAAAAACAAUAUUAUGUAUCUGUGUUUCAUAAACAUCUGAAAUAGGUAUAUCUCCAUUGCUGGCAAUGAAGAUAAUCUGCUUGUGUUGAUAUAUUUGAUGCUGUAAGUUUGUUGCCAUUACAUUUGCAUUCACUUUAGGAACUUGGAAACAGCAGGGAAAUCAGACAUUUCUGUAUUUGACUGUUUUUAUUCCCUUCUGUGUUCAAAGUAGACCUAUGGUAGCCCUAGACCUGAAUGUUGCUCACCAUGUAACAGUACACUAAAUUCCUUUGGCUCAUGCCCCUCAGCCACUUGGAGGGCUGUUGCAGAAGAUAGAAAAAUGGUACAGCCAAGCAUUCUUCUCUGGUUGCCAGGCUCCUGGGAGGAAUAGCCAGCCCUGUAGUUGAAAGGUCAAGAGAAAUGGGAGCUCUAACAUGGUGCUGAUUUUAAUACAAACUCUAGGAGACCAAACAGAUGUACAGACAAUUAAGCUUGACUUUACUGAGCAAACUGCAAACAACUUUGAAAAAAAAAUUAAAAUUGGUAGGCAUAUAGGUAUGUUGGGCAGAGGGAUUAGUGCUGCUUGUGCAGAUAUUUCACAAGCCUAUUAAGAGUUCCUUGAAGGAUUCAAUGAGCACAAGGAAGACAAGGGAAAUCUAUUUGACACUGCUGGUGCUAAAGCUCUAACAUAAACCUUGUAUUUUUAUCAAUAGUGUUACUCUAGAAAUACACCUUUCAUAACCAGCAUGGCUAGGGGUUUUAGGAAUUAGAAGCAGUUUUUAGAGCUGUGUUCUACUAUCUUAAGUGGUGGAAUCUCUUGAACUACUAAAAUGUUACUUCAUAGUGCUAACAAUGGAUUGGGUGUAAGUGCAGUGCUUCUUACAUGCAGAGCCAUGGAACUGAGGUUCUGAUCAGAACAGAUACUGGAGGUUUGGCCUGUAAUUACAGUGAGCAGUGUUGAAAUGCUCAAUGUGGUAUAACAUAAUGCACGUCACCCUCAGAUCCCACACAUGUGCUCUAUUUAGUGACCUCACCACAGCCUUGCGUAACA
Molecule: long non-coding RNA, 2511 nt
Organism: Parus major (Great Tit)
Lineage: Eukaryota; Metazoa; Chordata; Aves; Passeriformes; Paridae
Exons: 9
Source: RefSeq, a predicted model, not a curated record